UAAAUUGAAGAGUUUGAUCAUGGCUCAGAUUGAACGUUGGCGGCAGGCUUUAGACAUGCAAGUCGAGCGGUAACAGAUCGCUAGGAUCCCUUCGGGGUGACUUUGAUGCUGACGAGCGGCGGACGGGUGAGUAACGCGUAGGAAUCUACCCAGUAGCGGGGGAUAGCCCGGGGAAACCCGGAUUAAUACCGCAUACGCCCUACGGGGGAAAGGGGGGGCUCUCUUCGGAGACCUCUCACUAUUGGAGGAGCCUGCGUUGGAUUAGCUUGUUGGUGAGGUAAAGGCUCACCAAGGCUACGAUCCAUAGCUGGUCUGAGAGGACGAUCAGCCACACUGGAACUGAGACACGGUCCAGACUCCUACGGGAGGCAGCAGUCGGGAAUAUUGUGCAAUGGGCGAAAGCCUGACACAGCCAUGCCGCGUGUGUGAAGAAGGCCUUAGGGUUGUAAAGCACUUUCAGUAAGGAAGAAAAAGCCGAGCCAAUAACUCGGUAAUAUGACAUUACUUACAGAAGAAGCACCGGCUAACUCCGUGCCAGCAGCCGCGGUAAUACGGAGGGUGCAAACGUUAAUCGGAAUUACUGGGCGUAAAGCGCGCGUAGGUGGUUUGUUAAGUGGGAUGUGAAAGCCCCAGGCUCAACCUGGGAAUUGCAUUCCAAACUGACGGACUAGAGUACGAUAGAGGGAGGUAGAAUUCAGAGUGUAGCGGUGAAAUGCGUAGAUAUUCUGAGGAAUACCGGUGGCGAAGGCGGCCUCCUGGAUUGAUACUGACACUGAGGUGCGAAAGCGUGGGGAGCAAACAGGAUUAGAUACCCUGGUAGUCCACGCCGUAAACGAUGUCUACUAGCCGUUGGGGGGCUUGACCCCUUAGUGGCGAAGCUAACGCGAUAAGUAGACCGCCUGGGGAGUACGGUCGCAAGAUUAAAACUCAAAUGAAUUGACGGGGGCCCGCACAAGCGGUGGAGCAUGUGGUUUAAUUCGAUGCAACGCGAAAAACCUUACCAGGCCUUGACAUCCUGAGAAUUCGGUAGAGAUACCUUAGUGCCUUCGGGAACUCAGUGACAGGUGUUGCAUGGCUGUCGUCAGCUCGUGUCGUGAGAUGUUGGGUUAAGUCCCGUAACGAGCGCAACCCUUAUCCUUAUUUGCCAGCACGUAAUGGUGGGAACUCUAAGGAGACUGCCGGUGACAAACCGGAGGAAGGAGAGGAUGACGUCAAGUCAUCAUGGCCCUUACGGCCUGGGCUACACACGUGCUACAAUGGGAAGUACAGAGGGCCGCAAUGCCGCGAGGCGGAGCAAAUCCCAGAAAACUUUUCGUAGUCCGGAUCGGAGUCUGCAACUCGACUCCGUGAAGUCGGAAUCGCUAGUAAUCGCGAAUCAGCAUGUCGCGGUGAAUACGUUCCCGGGCCUUGUACACACCGCCCGUCACAUCAUGGGAGUGGGUUGCACCAGAAGUAGCUAGUUUAACCUUCGGGAGAACGGUUACCACGGUGUGAUUCAUGACUGGGAUGAAGUCGUAACAAGGUAGCCGUAGGGGAACCUGCGGCUGGAUCACCUCCUUAA
Molecule: ribosomal RNA, 1561 nt
Filed under: Gammaproteobacteria bacterium
Lineage: Bacteria; Pseudomonadati; Pseudomonadota; Gammaproteobacteria
Description: bacterial SSU rRNA
Rfam family: Bacterial small subunit ribosomal RNA
Source: RNAcentral